Molecule: ribosomal RNA, 465 nt
Filed under: uncultured bacterium
Lineage: Bacteria
Description: partial 16S ribosomal RNA
Rfam family: Bacterial small subunit ribosomal RNA
Source: RNAcentral
GACGAACGCUGGCGGCGUGCUUAACACAUGCAAGUCGAACGGAAAGGCCCUGCUUGCAGGGUACUCGAGUGGCGAACGGGUGAGUAACACGUGGGUUAUCUGCCCUGCACUUCGGGAUAAGCCUGGGAAACUGGGUCUAAUACCGGAUAGGAGCCAUUUUUAGUGUGAUGGUUGGAAAGUUUUUUCGGUGUAGGAUGAGCUCGCGGCCUAUCAGCUUGUUGGUGGGGUAAUGGCCUACCAAGGCGGCGGCGGGUAGCCGGCCUGAGAGGGUGGACAGCCACAUUGGGACUGAGGUGCGGCCCAGACUCCGACGGGAGGCAGCAGUGGGGAAUAUUGCACAAUGGGCGCAAGCCUGAUGCAGCGACGCCGCGUGGGGGAUGACGGCCUUCUGGUUGUAAACUCCUUUCGCUAGGGACGAAGCUUUUUGUGACGGUACCUAGAUAAGAAGCACCGGCUAACUACGUG